GAUGAACGCUGGCGGCGUGCCUAAUACAUGCAAGUCGAGCGAACGGACGAGAAGCUUGCUUUUCUGAUGUUAGCGGCGGACGGGUGAGUAACACGUGGAUAACCUACCUAUAAGACUGGGAUAACUUCGGGAAACCGGAGCUAAUACCGGAUAAUAUUUUGAACCGCAUGGUUCAAAAGUGAAAGACGGUCUUGCUGUCACUUAUAGAUGGAUCCGCGCUGCAUUAGCUAGUUGGUAAGGUAACGCCUUACCAAGGCAACGAUGCAUAGCCGACCUGAGAGGGUGAUCGGCCACACUGGAACUGAGACACGGUCCAGACUCCUACGGGAGGCAGCAGUAGGGAAUCUUCCGCAAUGGGCGAAAGCCUGACGGAGCAACGCCGCGUGAGUGAUGAAGGUCUUCGGAUCGUAAAACUCUGUUAUUAGGGAAGAACAUAUGUGUAAGUAACUGUGCACAUCUUGACGGUACCUAAUCAGAAAGCCACGGCUAACUACGUG
RNAcentral lists this ribosomal RNA (497 nucleotides) under uncultured bacterium. RNAcentral describes it as "partial 16S ribosomal RNA". It matches the Rfam family "Bacterial small subunit ribosomal RNA", at positions 28 to 507 of the family's 1533-position model. The record is from RNAcentral.